GAUCCCUCAGAGACGAUGAGGUAGAUAGGUCCGAGGUGGAAGCGUGGUGACACGUGGAGCUGACGGAUACUAAUCGAUCGAGGACUUAACUAAU
RNAcentral lists this ribosomal RNA (94 nucleotides) under Thalassobacillus cyri. RNAcentral's name for it is "23S rRNA. Bacterial LSU". It matches the Rfam family "Bacterial large subunit ribosomal RNA", at positions 2832 to 2925 of the family's 2925-position model. The record is from RNAcentral. Lineage: Bacteria; Bacillati; Bacillota; Bacilli; Caryophanales; Bacillaceae.